This 357-nucleotide long non-coding RNA is filed under the name Panax ginseng (ginseng). RNAcentral describes it as "long non-coding RNA (PGIN_LNC016255)". The record is from RNAcentral. Lineage: Eukaryota; Viridiplantae; Streptophyta; Magnoliopsida; Apiales; Araliaceae.
AGAAACAAAUACAACUUCAUUAAACUGUGAGUUUAAAUACAAAUAGAGAGUAUAAAAACUCAAAAGGAGUCCUCAUUAUAAUUAUUGAUACACUAUUUUAAAAAUAGUGAGGACUGCUAAAACAACUUUCUAGAACCAUCACUCCGUACCCCGACUAGUUCCUGCUAUGUUCUCACCUCCUGAGAAGAAAAAUGGAACAAAAGGGUGUGCUCAACUAGCCCAGUAAAGAAUAUUAUGACUAAGAUAAUAUACAAAAAAUUAUCAUUAGUCUUCAACAGGGAAUAAUCUGAUAAAAUAUAAUAGACAACAAGUUUAAGAUCAACAACUGCAGCGGAAAACAACAAUCCAUUAGAAGAG